CGAACGAUGAAGCCUAGCUUGCUAGGUGGAUUAGUGGCGAACGGGUGAGUAAUACGUGAGUGACCUACCUUUGACUCUGGGAUAAGCCUGGGAAACUGGGUCUAAUACCGGAUACGACCAAUCUCCGCAUGGGGUGUUGGUGGAAAGCGUUAUGGAGUGGUUUUAGAUGGGCUCACGGCCUAUCAGCUUGUUGGUGAGGUAAUGGCUUACCAAGGCGACGACGGGUAGCCGGCCUGAGAGGGUGACCGGCCACACUGGGACUGAGACACGGCCCAGACUCCUACGGGAGGCAGCAGUGGGGAAUAUUGCACAAUGGGCGCAAGCCUGAUGCAGCGACGCCGCGUGAGGGAUGACGGUCUUCGGGUUGUAAACCUCUGUUAGCAUCGAAGAAGCGAAAGUGACGGUAGGUGCAGAGAAAGCGCCGGCUAACUACGUGCCAGCAGCCGCGGUAAUACGUAGGGCGCGAGCGUUGUCCGGAAUUAUUGGGCGUAAAGAGCUUGUAGGCGGUUGGUCGCGUCUGCUGUGAAAGGCUGGGGCUUAACCCUGGUUUUGCAGUGGGUACGGGCUAACUAGAGUGCAGUAGGGGAGACUGGAAUUCCUGGUGUAGCGGUGGAAUGCGCAGAUAUCAGGAGGAACACCGAUGGCGAAGGCAGGUCUCUGGGCUGUAACUGACGCUGAGAAGCGAAAGCAUGGGGAGCGAACAGGAUUAGAUACCCUGGUAGUCCAUGCCGUAAACGUUGGGCACUAGGUGUGGGGGACAUUCCACGUUUUCCGCGCCGUAGCU
This 784-nucleotide ribosomal RNA is filed under the name Rothia sp. C167. RNAcentral's name for it is "bacterial SSU rRNA". It matches the Rfam family "Bacterial small subunit ribosomal RNA", at positions 63 to 853 of the family's 1533-position model. Lineage: Bacteria; Bacillati; Actinomycetota; Actinomycetes; Micrococcales; Micrococcaceae. The record is from RNAcentral.